GCCUGUAUAGCUCACUUGGUGAGAGUGUGGUACUCAUAACACCACGGUUGCAGGUUCAAUACCCCUAUGGGACA
Molecule: non-coding RNA, 74 nt
Organism: Podarcis lilfordi (Lilford's wall lizard)
Lineage: Eukaryota; Metazoa; Chordata; Lepidosauria; Squamata; Lacertidae
Source: the annotation of a GenBank genome assembly